GAUGAACGCUGACAGAAUGCUUAACACAUGCAAGUCAACUUGAACUUCGGUUUGGGUGGCGGACGGGUGAGUAACGCGUACAGAACUUGCCUCACAGCUAGGGACAACAUUUGGAAACGAAUGCUAAUACCUGAUAUUAUGAUUUUAGGGCAUCCUAGAAUUAUGAAAGCUAUAUGCGCUGUGAGAGAGCUUUGCGUCCCAUUAGCUAGUUGGAGAGGUAACGGCUCACCAAGGCGAUGAUGGGUAGCCGGCCUGAGAGGGUGAACGGCCACAAGGGGACUGAGACACGGCCCUUACUCCUACGGGAGGCAGCAGUGGGGAAUAGUGGACAAUGGACCAAGAGUCUGAUCCAGCAAUUCUGUGUGCACGAUGAAGUUUUUCGGAAUGUAAAGUGCUUUCAGUUGGGAAGAAAAAAAUGACGGUACCAACAGAAGAAGUGACGGCUAAAUACGUG
This 454-nucleotide ribosomal RNA is filed under the name uncultured bacterium. RNAcentral describes it as "partial 16S ribosomal RNA". It matches the Rfam family "Bacterial small subunit ribosomal RNA", at positions 28 to 507 of the family's 1533-position model. The record is from RNAcentral.